RNAcentral lists this unclassified non-coding RNA (1603 nucleotides) under Amphimedon queenslandica. RNAcentral's name for it is "mediator of RNA polymerase II transcription subunit 21-like, transcript variant X2". The record is from RNAcentral. Lineage: Eukaryota; Metazoa; Porifera; Demospongiae; Haplosclerida; Niphatidae.
CACGCUUUUGAUGAAGUUAUCUAGUAAUUUUAACCCGAUAUGGUCAGAUAAAAUGGCGGACAGACUAACACAACUACAAGAUGCUGUCACACAGAUGUCAGACUACUUCUGCAAUAGUAUUGGGAUUCUGCAACAGAAUCAAACCACUGAGACCAAAGAAGGAGGAGGGGAAAGUAGCACCAACAAUGCAACAUUAUUUGCUUCACUGAUAUCACAAACAGCCACUGACAUUGAGACACUCAUUGAGUCACUCCCUGAUCAGGAAUACACUCCAGAGAAGCAGGAAGAAACUUUGAAGAACCUUGUUGCUGAGAAUCAAGUUUCUGGAGAAAAAUUAAGACAAGUCAUCAAUGAAGCCGAGUCAAUGUUGAAACAAGUCAGACUUAUCAAUAAGACUAUUAGUGAUCAUCAACAUAAACUUACAAAUUAAUUAUGUUUUAUUUUUAAUCACUAUUAGACAUAUACUUUGAUAUAAUUGUCAAUAAUGCAUAAUGCAUUAAAGUAGUGCUUUUCAGGUAUUAUUAUUGAAUAGAUAGCAAGUUAUUCCAUAUCAAAUUUCAUGUGAACUGUCUACAUUAUGUGAACUCAAUUCCUUGUAUUGCUAGCUGCAGCUAUGAAGUUCAAUCCCAAAUGAAUUGACCUGCAAUAGCCUUUACCGUGGGACUUGUCUCUAAGAGCAUGCUUACAGUUCAAUAAAGCAUUUUAAUUGAGUCAAAGCUACACUAUAAAAAAACUUCUCAAGAUCAACAAUUUGAGUGCACCAAAUCACUUACUCUUUAAGGAUGUCUCCAAUCUUCUUGUUGUCUUUGCUACUCAUUGCUAUUGCUUGCAGUGAUGGUGCUACCACUGCAAAGAAAAGAAGUGCAUCAGAUGUCACUAAAUGGCUGGAAAAGAUCGAUAGCAGAUUGCACAGUGAAGGACUAAUGGCUUAUCAGAAUUAUUCUGUGUGCACAAACCAACUCAACAACAUCCUCCCUUUGUAUUGUAACAUAUCAGAGCUUUCUGGUAGAAUAUCUUCACUGCUUGCAUCAUCUUUGUCAAAUGCACAGCUUGAUCAACUCAAUGCUGCCUACUCUCAACUCUGUGUCCCUGAAUGCCUUAAUCCUAUUGAAGGGUACUACAAUUGUCUAAAACUUCAAUUUGAUCACAAAAACUAUCUUGUCACAUUACUUCGUCAAGGUAUCUGUGGACAAGAGCAAGAGAGUGGAGAAUACUGUGGGGUGAUAUACAUUCGUCAAUAUAGAAAUGGUGACCAAGUAGCUGAUUAUUGCACCAAUACAACUAGUGGAAUAGUUUGCAGAGGUGCUUCAUCCAAGUGUCUUGAUCGCGUCAAUAGAUUUAGUAACGAGAUGGGUUGCUGUACACAGCCAUAUCUUGGAUCUGGUGUUACUUCAUGCAGUGGUGUUAAUGUUAGUGAACCUUGUAUUGGAGUAUCCAGUGCCACUGGCCUAGUAGCUCCUGCCAUUGUGAUGCUCUUUGCAUUUGCUAGUUUCUUUGCUUGAAGUUUUGAACACAUUUUAUUAAGCUGAACUCUAACAUUAUAUAGUUUGAUGAGGUAAUUAUAUAGCAUUGAUUUCUAUUCUUUAUACUGAAGUUUUUUAGU